GCUAACUUUUGACUUGACCUCAAAUCAGGUAGGACUACCCGCUGAACUUAAGCAUAUCAAUAAGCGGAGGAAAAGAAACUAACAAGGAUUCCCCUAGUAACUGCGAGUGAAGCGGGAAAAGCUCAAAUUUAAAAUCUGGCGGUCUCCGGCCGUCCGAGUUGUAAUUUAGAGAAGCGUUAUCCGUGCUGGACCGUGUAUAAGUCUCCUGGAAUGGAGCGUCAUAGAGGGUGAGAAUCCCGUCUUUGACACGGACUACCAGUGCAUUGUGAUGCGCUCUCGACGAGUCGAGUUGUUUGGGAAUGCAGCUCAAAAUGGGUGGUAAAUGCCAUCUAAAGCUAAAUAUUGGCGAGAGACCGAUAGCGAACAAGUACCGUGAGGGAAAGAUGAAAAGAACUUUGGAAAGAGAGUUAAACAGUACGUGAAAUUGUCGAAAGGGAAACGGUUGCAGUCAGUCGCGUCCGCCGGGGAUCAACCUUGCUUUUGCUUGGCGUAUUUCCCGGUGGAUGGGUCAGCAUCAGUUUUGACCGCAGUUGAAAGGCUGGAGGAAUGUGGCACCUUCGGGUGUGUUAUAGCCUCCUGUCAUAUGCUGCGGUUGGGACUGAGGAACUCAGCACGCCGAAAGGCCGGGAUUCGUCCACGUUCGUGCUUAGGAUGCUGGCAUAAUGUCUGUAACCGACCCGUCUUGAAACACGGACCAAGGAGUCUAACAUGCACGCGAGUGUUUGGGUGGCAAACCCGAGCGCGUAAUGAAAGUGAAAGUUGAGACCUCUGUCGUGGAGGGCAUCGACGCCCGGACCAGAACUUUUGGGACGGAUCCGCGGUAGAGCGUGUAUGUUGG
This 838-nucleotide ribosomal RNA is filed under the name Schizophyllum radiatum. Its description in RNAcentral is "eukaryotic LSU rRNA". It matches the Rfam family "Eukaryotic large subunit ribosomal RNA", at positions 1 to 812 of the family's 3401-position model. The record is from RNAcentral. Lineage: Eukaryota; Fungi; Basidiomycota; Agaricomycetes; Agaricales; Schizophyllaceae.